Molecule: ribosomal RNA, 301 nt
Filed under: uncultured bacterium
Lineage: Bacteria
Description: partial 16S ribosomal RNA
Rfam family: Bacterial small subunit ribosomal RNA
Source: RNAcentral
CAGUCGCCGCGGUAAUACGUAGGGUGCAAGCGUUAAUCGGAAUUACUGGGCGUAAAGCGCACGCAGGCGGUUUGUUAAGUCAGAUGUGAAAUCCCCGAGCUUAACUUGGGAACAGCAUUUGAAACUGGCAAGCUAGAGUCUUGUAGAGGGGGGUAGAAUUCCAGGUGUAGCGGUGAAAUGUGUAGAGAUCUGGAGGAAUACCGGUGGCGAAGGCGGCCCCCUGGACAAAGACUGACGCUCAGGUGCGAAAGCGUGGGGAGCAAACAGGAUUAGAUACCCCGGUAGUCCCUGUCUCUUAUAA